This 183-nucleotide ribosomal RNA is filed under the name Triticum aestivum (bread wheat). RNAcentral's name for it is "partial small subunit ribosomal RNA". The record is from RNAcentral. Lineage: Eukaryota; Viridiplantae; Streptophyta; Magnoliopsida; Poales; Poaceae.
AAAAAAGAGAUACAACCUUGGCAAGAAUGAUGCUCAGCAUAAUAUAUGACCCACGCUCCUUUAGGCUCUAUAAAUUCCAUGGGUGGCGUAGCUACCGAGAUCAAUGCAGAUAAUUAUGUCUCUCCUAGAAGUUGGUUAUCAUCUCAUUUUGUUCUUGGAUUCUUCUUUUUUGUGCAACUGUAA